This 1334-nucleotide ribosomal RNA is filed under the name uncultured bacterium. Its description in RNAcentral is "bacterial SSU rRNA". It matches the Rfam family "Bacterial small subunit ribosomal RNA", at positions 8 to 1336 of the family's 1533-position model. The record is from RNAcentral.
AGAGUUUGAUCCUGGCUCAGAUUGAACGCUGGCGGCAUGCCUUACACAUGCAAGUCGAACGGCAGCAUGAUCUACCUUGCUAGAUUGAUGGCGAGUGGCGAACGGGUGAGUAAUACAUCGGAACGUGCCCUGUAGUGGGGGAUAACUAGUCGAAAGAUUAGCUAAUACCGCAUACGACCUGAGGGUGAAAGUGGGGGACCGCAAGGCCUCAUGCUAUAGGAGCGGCCGAUGUCUGAUUAGCUAGUUGGUGGGGUAAAGGCCCACCAAGGCGACGAUCAGUAGCUGGUCUGAGAGGACGAUCAGCCACACUGGGACUGAGACACGGCCCAGACUCCUACGGGAGGCAGCAGUGGGGAAUUUUGGACAAUGGGGGCAACCCUGAUCCAGCAAUGCCGCGUGUGUGAAGAAGGCCUUCGGGUUGUAAAGCACUUUUGUCCGGAAAGAAAUCGCACUUACUAAUAUUAGGUGUGGAUGACGGUACCGGAAGAAUAAGGACCGGCUAACUACGUGCCAGCAGCCGCGGUAAUACGUAGGGUCCAAGCGUUAAUCGGAAUUACUGGGCGUAAAGCGUGCGCAGGCGGUUGUGCAAGACCGAUGUGAAAUCCCCGGGCUUAACCUGGGAAUUGCAUUGGUGACUGCACGGCUAGAGUGUGUCAGAGGGGGGUAGAAUUCCACGUGUAGCAGUGAAAUGCGUAGAGAUGUGGAGGAAUACCGAUGGCGAAGGCAGCCCCCUGGGAUAACACUGACGCUCAUGCACGAAAGCGUGGGGAGCAAACAGGAUUAGAUACCCUGGUAGUCCACGCCCUAAACGAUGUCAACUAGUUGUUGGGGAUUCAUUUCCUUAGUAACGUAGCUAACGCGUGAAGUUGACCGCCUGGGGAGUACGGUCGCAAGAUUAAAACUCAAAGGAAUUGACGGGGACCCGCACAAGCGGUGGAUGAUGUGGAUUAAUUCGAUGCAACGCGAAAAACCUUACCUACCCUUGACAUGCCACUAACGAAGCAGAGAUGCAUUAGGUGCUCGAAAGAGAAAGUGGACACAGGUGCUGCAUGGCUGUCGUCAGCUCGUGUCGUGAGAUGUUGGGUUAAGUCCCGCAACGAGCGCAACCCUUGUCUCUAGUUGCUACGAAAGGGCACUCUAGAGAGACUGCCGGUGACAAACCGGAGGAAGGUGGGGAUGACGUCAAGUCCUCAUGGCCCUUAUGGGUAGGGCUUCACACGUCAUACAAUGGUGCAUACAGAGGGUUGCCAAGCCGCGAGGUGGAGCUAAUCCCAGAAAAUGCAUCGUAGUCCGGAUCGUAGUCUGCAACUCGACUACGUGAAGCUGGAAUCGCU